This 9645-nucleotide long non-coding RNA is filed under the name Homo sapiens (human). RNAcentral's name for it is "HSALNT0134742". Lineage: Eukaryota; Metazoa; Chordata; Mammalia; Primates; Hominidae. The record is from RNAcentral.
UCUUGUCCAAGGCAGAGGGCGUUCUUGCCAGACAGCAUGUGCGUUCCAGGGUGCUUGGCAGACUCUCUCAGUGAAGGAGCUUCGGCAUGAAAAAGUCCCCAUCAGGCGGAUCCCACGCCCUCUGCACAGCUUGUGUAAGGGCACAGCUUGUGUAAGGACAAAAACUAACCAGACACCUACUAUGUAGAAGGCUCUUCAAUGAUUCUUCUGUAAAACAGAUUGUAUUCAUUUGCUAGGGCAGCAAAAUACCACAGACUGAGUGGCUUAAACAACAGAAAUUUAUCUUCUCACAGCUCUGGAGGCUGGAAGUCCAAGAUCAAGGUGCUGGGCGAUUUGGUUUCCUUGGAGGCCUCUCUCCUUGACUUGCAGAUAGUCACCCUCUUCCUCCCUCUUCACCUGGUCGUCCCCUGUGCGUGUGUGUGCCUGGUGUCUCUUCCUUUUCCAUUCUGAACUUAUGAAACAGAUUUUGGUGGGUGUAGCAAGAUCAUGCAAGCUUUGGGACUUGAAUGGAUUGGAAUGUAUUCCAGUUAUAUCAGAUUAGAGUCCUACCCUAAUGGCCUCAUUUUAACUCAAUCAUCUCUUUAAAAACUUUAUCUACAAAUAUACUUACAUCCUGAAAUUUCGGAGGUUGGGACGUUGACAUACGAAUUUUGGGGUAACACAGUUCAGCCCAUGAUAUAGGCAUUACCUAUCUUACAGGUGAGGAAACUGAGGGGCGGUGAGGACAUGUGACUUGCAUAGGGUUAGUAUGCCAGUUGAGAGUAGAAUCUCUAUCUCAGUUGAGUGUUCUUUACACAAAGAACACUUUGUCUCUUGAGGCGAAAUGAUGUAUCCAGCUAGCGCCAUCGAAGACAUUUGGAAAACUCAGGUUUCUUCAUGGCUUGCAAGAUUACCUAGGUACUUCAUGGGGAGUGGUGAGGGGCAUGAGGGUGGUUGGGGGAUGAUCAGUGGAAGCAGUUUGGAGAUUGGGGUCUGGAAUCGGGGUGUGAGUCUUGGCUCUGUCAUAGACUAGGUGUAUCGCCAUUGUCAAGGCCUGCACAAUCUAAGUUUAUACCGAUUAAGAUUUAUUAAGCAACAGUGCUAAGCACUGAACACAUAUCACCUCAUCCCAUGUUCACAGCCAGCAUAUAAAGUGGAUACUAUUGCUAUGUCUACUUUACAGUUGAGGAAAAGAGGCCCGGAGAGGUUAAGUGACUUACUCAAGGUCACGUAGCCAAUAAGGCCUAGAGCCAGGACUCAAACCCACGUCUGUGGAUUUCAAAACCUAUACAGUUAACCAUGAACAGAAUCAGGAAUGGGGUUCGGGGUUACAAAAAUCUGCUUUUAUAAGAGAGAAAAAGUCUGAGUUUUAGUGUAAAAUCUCAAGGAUUUUCAAUAUUGAAUAAUUCAAGUUUCUUAAACAAAACUAAGCAGCUCAGACAAAUCAUAUCAGCUAGCCUCAGGUUCAUACUGCAUUGCCUCUUAUCUGUAAAGUGGGAAAGGUGUUCUAGAUAAACCUGCAGGGCAUUGCCUGUCCUGAUUAUGAACCUCUGAUGCCAUUUUGAACUUAUGAAAUAGAUUUUGGUGACUGUGGUAAGAUCAUGCAAGCUUUGGGACUUGAAUGGAUUUGAAUCUGCACCUUGGCCCUUAGUAGCAAUAUAAGAAGGCAAAUUGUUUAAUCUUUCUGAACCCCAGUUUCCUUGUCUGGAAAUUGGGACUUGUACUUUGUACGCUGAUAUGAAUAUGGAGAUAAAGUCUGUAAAGUGCCUGCUGGGCAGCUUGGUAGGCAGUGAGAAAAUAACACCAACAAGAUCGUGUUCUUCGCCAUGGGAUUGGGAGUCUAUGAGUAGUGGGUGUAUGUGAAUAUCUGGGGGGAUGUGGACAGGGUUCCCACUCUGACAGCUCUCCCCACAAACCAAGGAGCUGCCAUUUUAAACUUAAGUUUUGAAAACUUCAAGAGUUUCUUUACAAAAAUGUCCACCAUUGUUAGACAGACUGGUUAAUACCUUUGCAGGAGUUAGAUUCUAUUAUAUUUAUUUACUCACUAGGAGAGCAUUUAGUGAGUUUACAAUGUGGCGAAAGAGGAGUGGUUCUCAAACCCUAAUCUGCAACAAGAAACAGCCGGGAGCUUGCUUAUACUAAAGCUUCUGAGCUGCCACUCCCAGAGUCCAGCUUAGAGUGCCAUAGGGCCAGGAAUGUGCAUUUGCACAGCUCUCUGGGGAUGCUGAUACAGGGGACCAAAGACUAUCUACUGAGGCCCAGUGUAACUUUACUGUGAGACAACUAAGUCACCUUCCCACCCGGAGAUGCCUCCUGAGCUGACCACAGGGCGGCCACACCUGGCUGACAACUGUCAAGAACUGUCCCCUGCCAUUUCACCUGAGCUGACCUGAUCUCCCCAGGGGAAUGAGCCUCGUCUUGCAAGUCCCCUUCUUUGGGUCCCUGGCAGCGCUGCUGCAGGAUACAAGGAACAGGAUGCUAUGACGAGAUAUGCAUUGAGAAGCUUCAGUCCUGCCUCCAUCCUUAUCUUCUUCUCCCUGGACCAAAAGUGAUAAUUGUCAUUUGAUCCUUAUUUAUUUUUAGAAAUAAAACUCUUAUGCAGAUACCAACACAUACAAAUCUGUAUUCUUAUACCCUCUAUUUCUUACACACAAGGUAGCAUAUUAUAUUCACUGCUUGACAUGUUACUAUAUUUAUUUGUACUUUAUUGAGCUAUAACAUAUACAGUAAAAUAUACAAAACAUAAUGCAUAGGCCAGUGAAUUUUUUCCUUUUUUUAAAUUUAUUUUUCUUGUAUGACUAUUAAAAACAGCUUUAUUGAGGUCCAAUUGAUAUAUAAUAGUAAACUGGAAUAUAUACACACCCAUGAACCAUCACCAUAAUUGAAAUAAUGAAAAUAAUCAUCACCUUCAAAAGUUUCCUCUUAGGCCAGGUGUGAUGGCUUAUGCUUGUAAUCCCAGCACUUUGAGAGUCUGAGGUGGGAGGAUCACUUGAGCCCAUGAGUUCAAGACCAGCCUGGACAACAUGGCAAAACUCCAUCUCCACAAAAAAAUACAAAAAUUAGGUGGUGUAUGUCUGUAGUCCCAGCUACUCAAGAGGCUGAGGCAGGGGGAUCUCCUGAGCCCAGGAUGUUGAGACUGCAGUGAGCCCUGAUCAUGCCCCUGCACUCCAGCCUGGGCGACAGAGUGAGAUCCUGUCUAUAAAUAAAGUUUCCUCUGGCCUCUAUAUUUUCUUAUUAGCUUGUAAAGGUGAGCAGAUUGAUGAGUUGGGUUGAAGAUAUCUAACAUUAAGCUGAUCACAACCUCAUGGUUCCUUCCUAGAGGCUCCUUUAGUUUCUUUCUUUUCUUUUCUUCUCUUCUCUUUUUUUUUUUUCCGAGACAGGGUCUCACUCUGUUGCCCAUGCUAGAGUGCAGUGGUAUGAUCAUAGCUCUCUGCAGUCUUAAAUUCCUGGUCUUAAGCAAUGCUCCUACUUCAGCCUCCCAAGUAGCUGGGACUACAGGGGUGUGCCACCAUGUCCGGCUAUUUUUUGUAGAGACAGAGUUUCACCAUGUUUCCCAGGCUGUUCUCCUAGUGUCAAGAGAUCUGCUCGCCUCAGCCUCCCAAAGUGCUGGGAUUACAGACAUGAGCCACCGUGACCAGCUGAGUCUGCUUUUGUUUCUUAAGAAUCCAGGAACUAGGUAAUAAAUGUAUGUCUUUGCUACUCCUAAGUCUUAUUAAUCACUUACAUUUCUGACAAUUAAUCAUUGGACCUCAAGGGACUUUGAUAAGAUUAAUUUGAAGUUCUCAGCAGUAGAAAGUUUAUUUUGUCAGUCUGCAAAGCUUCUGGUGUCAGAGGUUCUGGUUCAGGGCUGUUUGACUCAAAGAACCAAGGGACUCUUGGAAAAAGAAACAAGACUUACAUGGAAUUUCAGGAUCUCCAUUGUUUAUAAGCCAUAAUUCUGGGAAGAAGGAAAUGAACUCUAAUUAAGCACCUCUAUGGGUCAGAUACUUUAUAUAAAACAAAGAAUUUAAUCCUCAACAAUAACCUGCCACAGAGAUGAGAUUAUCACCAUUUUUACAGAAGAGGAAAUAGGAUCUGAGAGCCUAAGCAACUUGCCCAAGGUGACUCAGUAAGUGGCAUGAGCUGGAGUUGAAACCCAGAGCUAUAUUGCUAUAGAGCCCAUCCUUUCUAUUUCAUGGCCCUACUCUCUGUCCCCUGCCCCUAGAUAAUAUUAACAAUUGAUAGACAGAUAAGUAGAUAGAUAGAUAAAUAGAUACAGAUACACACACAUAUAUCUGUAUAUCAGGAUGUGCUAUAUAUUACAUUUUAUUUAUUUCCAAAGGCCUUAGGAAAAAAACAAUAGCAGUGUAGAACAUGAAGGCAAAUGGUUACAAAAUACAUGGAUACGUGUAUUUUACUGCUGAUAUAAAUUUAUGUCUAUUGAGUUAUUCCCAAGUUAACAAGGACCGAGAAGUUACUGUGGCCUAAGAAUUGUGCUCUGCAUGUUGGUAGAGACAAAAUAAGCAGCGUCUACUGGCAAAGACUGUAUCAUGUUGCCGGAGAAGUGAAGCAUUAAGUAGAAACUGUGUGUAGUGGCUGUGAGGGCAGCAUGGUUCUGCAAAGGGCUUGAUUGGCGGGAAGAGGAUUAGAUUCCCGCAUGUGUAGUUGGGAAUCUGAUCUGUAAAAGCCAGACACUGAGGUUUUGAUGUCUUUCUCCAGUUCACACAAAGAGCUAAUAGCUGGGCUGGGACUAUGUCUUAAGCAUCCUGGAUAGUUAACAUCUUACCAACCUCUGUCUUCCCCAAAAGCUGCAAUCUCCAUAUGCAGGAGCCAACAUCAGUUUGCUGCAAGGGAGGAGAAUGAGGACUAUUGUAUCAACUGGAGUCCCAUAGAAAACAAAUGACACACUCAAAAGGGGUGAUCAAGAGUUCCAUGGAGGGGCCGUUGACAAAGGUAGAGCCGGUUUAGAGAAAAGCAAUAAGGGAUGCGGAAGCCUCAGGAUCAGCAGCAGCAGGAAGCCACUGGCACCGAGUGCCAAGGGGUAGGGAGCGGUAGCUGAGGUGUGGUGAGCUGUAGGUACAGAAGCACUGCUAUUGCUGCAUCAGAGGUAUCAAUAUUCCAUCCUCACUCUCUCAAUGCCCUCUGAUCACACGCCUGGUGCCCUGGAAGACAGAGGUCACUGGAGCUGUGUGGUUGCAGUCGUUAGAGGUCAGCUUCCUGGCUGCAGCACAGUGCAGAAAGGAAAUGGACAGAGAGUGGUUCUGGCAGGACAGAUGGAGACUAUCCAGUGCAAAAUCCAUGCUGGGGAAAUUUAAGAGUUUUCUUGGGAGUGCAUUAAAGGAGCUAUUGCAGGUGCCUUAGAAUCUCAGAGUCUUAAAGUCACUCCCUUCCAUAAUCCAAUAGCUUGUUCUUGUUCUCAGGAAAGCUCUAUAAACCCAGGGCCUUAUUCUUAUUGUAGUCAUCAUUUCCAGCAGAGCACAGAUUCAAGAGCCAGCUGUUUAACUCAUGACCUUGCUGAAGAGGUGGUAAUGGGGCUAUUCUUAGUGAUCACAUUGUUAUGGGUUAGCAACUUGAUGUUCAAGGUAGUGGGCACCUAGAUAUCUCUGAAUGAUGGUGUUUGUUGGUUUGAAAGAGGUCUCCCUCAUUAAUUCAUUAUCUUGCUGGAGAGGCAGUUGCAUUUUGGCUUCAGCCUUUAAAUGAUAGUGGCUCUAUUUCCGACUUGCUUGGAAACUAUUAUUAACUAUUAUUCCCAACAAUACACUUGCAUAUUUGACAAUCUAGAAACCAAAUUUAGCCAUGCAAAUUAUAGACAACUGCUCUCUUAUAAUGUCACUGUGAUGUCCCAGUUUUUAAGAAAUGGAAGAUUAACAAAGCCAGCUUCAAAUGCUUAAAACAAUAUUUUAUGUAAGAAGCCAUUUUCCCCCAGAGAUGCAUAGACCUGUAAAAUGUUUCCAGAGCUCUUUGGAAGAUAACCAAUAUUUCUCUCAAAGGAAGGGGAAGUAGCAGAACAUCAAAUAUACGCAAAAACCCUUCAAAGCUGGAAGUGCCAUCAGCUUACUAAGGAAUUAUGUUAAAAAUAAGGGAAACUUAAGAGGUCACUUAAAUGAUUUAAACACCAUAUUUUCCCUCUUCUCCAAAAAUCCCCCAAGACAAUGCUCAUAAUGUUAGACUGACCUUUUAGCAUAUGUGAUUUUAGUGAAAGACAUUUCUCUUCUUCUAAAUAUAUCUCAAACCAUUCUUAAAAGUAAUGAUUUCUCAUUAAGGCUCUUGCACCUGCUUGUGAAGAAAAGACAUCUGACCUUUAAAAAAUAUUCCAUGGGUCUGAAUCAUCUAAGUAUAUUGUAGCUUUAUUCUUGCAGACAAGGGAAACCAAGAAUGAUCUGGAUAAUGGAGAAACCUGUUAAUACAACUGGAUUUGAAUCACACUACUGGCUGAAAUUCACACAACCGGAUUGGGAUCCCACUGUGUAAUUUUAGGAUGCUCAAGCAUCAUGGCAUCAUUUCCAGUGGAGUCGCUGAACUUGUAGGUUGUCUACCUGACACCUCGAGGUCCUUACACCAAGAAGUCAGCUGUGAAGCCCGCUGAGUCCUCGGGUGGAUGUCUGCCACCACAUACAUAGCCUUUGCUGGUGGCUUGGAGAGCUGGCAGGUCAGCCACAGAAAGUGGGCAAGACCUAGUCAGUAGCGACAGGAUAUGUUCCCAGGAUGGACAGCUGCCUGAUAUGCGUUCAGUUCCAGUGCCAAAGCCAAGGGCUGCCAGUGCCCUUCCUUCAUGCUAAGGACUUCUCUCUCUCCAGGACAGCGGAUGCCUGUUUGGAAGGCUGGAUUGGACUGAGCCACAUGGCAGAGCCUUGGAGAUGGCAGGGGAGGGAAGUCGAAGACAUGGAGUGGUUUGACAUUUGUGCAUAGUAUGAAGAAAGAUCAUCAAGGCUGAAAUGUGUCUGCUAAGAGGCUUCAGCUCAUGUUUGCUAAUCUCCUGUAUGGUGAAACACUGGCACCCAGACAAACCCUCAUUCACAUCAGAACAAAGCGCUAGUUAUGUGUGUUGAAAUUCCUUAAAGAAAAUGUCUUGCAGGCUGCUGGGGAGUGCGUGAAUGCUGGAAAUGCUUCACCAAGAGUUACUCAAUGUCCUGGGAAGACGGUCUGCUGGCAUCUGAGGGCUCACCCUAGAGAAGAGUGGUUGUACUCCAGGGCACAUGGGUCUGGUGAGGACAGAGAAGCAUGGGUGGAUGGGUGGGUGGAGAUGAGGGUGGAUGUUUUCUCUGUAAUCGUCUCCGGCCAGGCUGGAGCCCGAACCAGACUACCCACUUUAUUAGUCCAUUGAGAAUAUCUAAAGUCAGGCUUCUCAGCACAGCUGCCAUUUCCCCUGCUUGGGACCAGAUUUUCCUGUUUUCUGAGGGCUUCCAAGUAAGUUGGAAGUUCCUUGGGUUUCCACAACUUUGACUUAAUGAAGAAACAAGGUCAAGAAUCAGAGGAAAGGUUUUUGGAUGGGCCUCAGAGGUCUGAAAUGGUUAGGUGGGAGUCUAAAGGUAUAGGAGAGAAACUAAAUCAGUUGUAGCCCCAGCUGUUUGGAGAUGAUGCCAGCAGAUGGGAUUGAGUAAGCGACCACAGGUUGCAGAGGGUGGCAGAUGGGAGGCGGAUGUGGAAAUGGGGUCCCAGUCAGAAAUGAACACCACUAGAGGAGCAGGAAGAAGGGCCAAGCAAGAGCAGUGGUUCUCAUUGUGGUUUCUGGACUAGCGGCGGCAGCAGCACCCACGAUGUAGAUGUCAACUCUUAACUCCACUCGGAAACCCACUGAAUCAGAAACUCAGGUGGUGAAGCCCAACCAGCGGUACUUGAAUAAGUCCUCCAGUGAGUCUGAUGGACACUAAAGUUUAAGAACCACUGAGUCAGGGAACCCCAAGGGAGGCAAUUGCUAAGGAACUGCAAGAGAGGAAUUAGGGGCUGGGCCAGGGGCCAGGCGCGGUGGCUCACACCUGUAAUCCCAGCACUUUGAGAGGCUGAGGCAGGAGAAUGGCUUGAGCCCAGGAGUUCAAGACUAGCCUGGGCAACAUAGUGAAACCCUGACUCUACAAAGAACACAAAAUUGGCCAGGCAUGGUGGUAGCCACCUGCAGUCCUAACUACUCGGGAGGAUCACUUGAGCCUGGGAGAUGGAGGUUGCAGUGAGCUGAGAUCACACCUCUGGGCUACAGCCUGGGUGAUAGAGCAAGACCCCAUCUCAAAAAAAAAAAAAAAAAAGACGGCAGGAUUAGGGAAACUUCUAGAAUGAGGAGGAGAUGGCCCUGAAAGCACAGGGGGACAAGGAGAGUGAACUGAAAAGUAGAAAGAAGUUCUUCUCCAUAAGAAAAAAAGGUGAUGAGAGCUACAAUAAAAAACUACUAGUCACAACGGCUGCAGCUCAAGGUAGCCUGGAUUCUUGAUAAGCACACACCCGCCACUGGUGUCACGCUGAAGCUGGAAGGACCGCCUCUGCUAACAACAGUGAAGAACAAAUGUGGAUGCAAAUGGCUCUUAGAAGUCAGACAAAGGGAAGUUGCAUUGCUGAGAUUCACCUGCAGGUCCCAGCAUGGCUCAUUUGUUCUCUGGAGUAGUGGGUUGAAUGGUAGCCCCCCGCCCCCAUAGAUAUCCUAACCCCUAGAAUCUGUGAACGUGAUCUUAUUGUGGCAGCAGGCCUGUAAUCCAAGCUACUCUGGAAGCUGAAGGGGGAGGAUUUCUUGAGGCCAGAGGUUCGAGACCGGCCUAGGCAACAUAGCAAGAGACCCCUUCCAUCUCCAAAAAAUGAAGGAUAUCCAGAUGAGAUCAUCCUGGAUUAUCUGAGUGGGUCUUAAAUCCAAUGACAUCCAAAUUUAUAAGAGAUGAAAGAGGAGGAAAAGAGAGAUAUGCAGAGGAGAAGGUGAUGGGAAGAUGGAGGCAGGAAUUGGAGUGACACAUCCAUAAACAUGUAGACAUAAAGGGAAUGCCUGUAGUCACCAGCAGUGGGAAGAGGUAAGGCGGGAUUGUCCCGCAGAGCCUUCAGAGGAGGCAUGGCCCUGCUAACACCUUGAUUUUUGGACUUCUGACCUCCAGAAAUGAAAGAAAAUAAAUUACUAUUGCUUUAAGCCACCAAAUUUGUGGUGAUUUAUUAUAGCAGCUCUAGGAAAUUAAUAUACCUGGCUUAAGGGAAGAGGCAUGGGAUUUGAAGACAGACAGACUGGUGUCUUGAACUUUUUGAAUGUUACUCCCUAGGGUGGGAUGUGAACUCUGAGUCACAGCAGUCCCCACGUGGCUUGAGUCCCUCAUUACUUUAGCUAUCUGCCUCCUAUGAGCAUCUUAGCUUUGUAUCCUCUGGGUAACUUCACCUCUCCAGUCUUCUCCACCUUUGACAUCUUAUUAUUCCAGCAAGGGGGGUGGGGAAGGUGGAUUACCUCAAAUCUUUGGAGCAAUGUUUGGGGAUGAUGUAGUCUACCAUCCUUUGAAUAGCUUGGCUGAUUUACCAUUGAGGAAGAAAGAAAUUUCUUCUUGAGAUGUAGUGUGAUGCCUUUUUCAGAACCAGCCACUCUAGUGAUUUUUAAUAAAAAAAAUUAUUGUCUCAUGGCUGGGUUUCUGUCAUUCCUUCCAGAAGGUGGGAGGCUGUGAGUUUGGAAAAUUAGUGUCUGGUGACUGUGGGUGAGAAGGCCCUUUCCUACAUAACAGAAGAAAUAAACAC